UUGAACUAUGGUGCUUAUACGUACAUUGAGUGACAUUGAUUUUUACAAGCACACAUAUUAAGAGUUAUGCCCCUUUUUGCUGAAACCUGUAUGUACUGCAUGUAGUGCUUGUCAGCACAACAUAUUUUUCUGAAACCUUCAGGAAGCUGUUAUAGUGGUAAGAUGAGAAAUUAAUAUUUCAUUUCGUCAAAGUCAGAUUAAUAAGGGGAGUUAUGCCCCUUGUUUGCUUCUAAUGAUUGUCAGCAAUAAUAUACAGUCCAGACUUUUCAUCAGAGUUUUCUGACACUUUGUAUUAUGAUAAAUUGAUUCCUAGUUAUUGUCCUCUAUAUCAGAUUAAUAUCUAUAGAGUUAUGCCCCUUGUUUGCUGAAAGCUGCCCACAAGGCUUGAAAUACUUGUCAGCAGGAUAUGUGGUGUGAAGUGUUCAGACCAUUACAGGAAGAUUCAGGACGAACUUUAUCAAUAUUUAGGAUUCCAUUUUUGGCACAAUUUUAUUCUCAAAUUACGAGACCCGACAGAGACAUAUUUAAACAUGCUGAUAAAUAUCAAUAUGUCAUAACUUAUUCAGGAUUCCAUUUUUGCACAAUUUUAUUCUCAAAUUACGAGACCUGGUAGAGCCAUAUUUGAGAAUUCUGAAUGUUGAUAAAUAUCAAUUCAUCAUACCCUUGUAAAUAUUAAAUUGAACUGAGUUAUUUUUAUACUGUUUUGACAAAAUGCAAAUGGCACAUCGGAACUGUACUAAUCCUAAUUGAUUUUACUUUCAGGCUUGGAUGUGUGGAGGUCUGUUGGAGAUUUUACCCUGUUCGAGAGUAGGUCACGUGUUCCGCAGCGUUCUACCACACAGCUUCCCUGAUGGGGGACGACAGACGGUUGCUAGAAAUCUACGACGUGUAGCAGAAGUAUGGAUGGAUGAUUACAAAAAUAUAUUUUAUUCUUCUUUGAAUAUAGAUGAAGUAGAAGUAGGUGAUAUACAAGAAAGACAGACUUUACGUACCAGAUUAAAAUGUAAAAGUUUUAAAUGGUAUUUACAGAAUGUUAUACCAGAGUUACCUGUCCCUGACCAAUCAGAUCUGGCAUUCGGAGAGUUUCGUCAUCAGUUGUCUUUACAGUGCCUUACUGUCCAAGCAAAUGGAAGAAUAAUUCUCUCAGCUUGUCAAGGACAGAAAAAUACUCAGGUUUUUAGUUUGACUUCUCAUGGCAACCUUCACCUAUAUAACAGUAGUGAUGACAACAAUAGUUGCAUCCGGACAGACGAUAAGAAAUUAUAUCUAGGUGCAUGUGGUCACCAUAUAUGGAAAUUACAGGGUCAGCAAAUUCAGCAAACGGGAAGUGAAUUAUGUCUUGGAAGUGAA
This is a long non-coding RNA of Patella vulgata (common limpet), 1350 nucleotides long. RefSeq lists it as uncharacterized. The record is from RefSeq and is a predicted model, not a curated record. The transcript is spliced from 5 exons. Lineage: Eukaryota; Metazoa; Mollusca; Gastropoda; Patellidae.